Ribosomal RNA from Rhinopithecus bieti (black snub-nosed monkey), 105 nucleotides. The record is from Ensembl. NCBI's taxonomy places the organism in Eukaryota, Metazoa, Chordata, Mammalia, Primates, Cercopithecidae.
GUCUGAGCCUACAGAGUACUCACCCUGAUCCUGGAAGCUAAGCAGGGCCAGGCAUGGUCAAUAGUUGGAUGGGAGACUGCCUGGCAAUACCGAGUGUUGCAGAGU